UUGUGCUAAUGUUAAUGGUAGAAUAAUGUUUAGGACAUUUUAUAUUUGGAAUCCAUUUUACUAUAUUGUCUUCAUUUCAACAAGAGGCUACGGCUUCUUAUCUUCCUCAUUUUGAAUAAUUUUUUAUAAGCUAGUAGUCUUGUCUAUUCUACUUCAAAAGAAGUUCUAAAUUGGUGACACAUGAGGUGAAUUUAUUCUGUUUUCUAUUCAAAAUAACAUUUUUUUAUUAAGGCUUUUCUAGAAGUUUGCAUUCAACGAAAUUACUUCAACAAUCCGGAAUAUCAAAAAAUUAAAUUGUUAUAAUUAGAUUCUUGUUUUAUAAAUUGAUUGCAUCAUUUUGGAGAUGCCACAACAAAACCACAUUGGAGACAUUUUGAAUGGUAAGUGAAGAUGUUACAACAAAACCACAUUUAGUAAAUCCAUGAAUAUUUUACACGUGUAUCCCACAUGAAAAACAAGAAUUUAUGUAAUAGUACUUGUUGAAGAAAAUAGGAGGAGCCCUUACCAAUGUAUAAUAGUUUCUUGCUUAUACAAAUAUGUGAUAAAUUUGAAUUAGUUAUUUUUUAUAUAAACUAGUUUAAGACAUGUAUAUAGACUUAUCACUCUAUAACCCUAAAUAGUUGAAGAGUUAUCAUUCCACAUAGUUCUUGAAUACACAGAUAAAGGUUCUAUCUUGUUUUGCCA
RNAcentral lists this long non-coding RNA (684 nucleotides) under Lupinus angustifolius (narrow-leaved blue lupine). Its description in RNAcentral is "long non-coding RNA (LANG_LNC002825)". The record is from RNAcentral. Lineage: Eukaryota; Viridiplantae; Streptophyta; Magnoliopsida; Fabales; Fabaceae.